UGUUCUUUUAAGCAAAUGUGCCUGCUCAAAAAUGCAAAAUCUUGCAAUCUGUGGACACAAUACUGAAGUGAAGAACGUCAGUAGAUUUACAUGUAGGAAUUUUUUUUGAGCGCUAACUUUUGCACGAUAUUUUUUUUCUCGAUUGUAUGCUGCAUGGGUUUUUUUUUCUUUCUCCUUGGAUUGCAGGAAAUUUUUUUUCGAAAUCUUCCAACCCCCCUCAAAAAUCAAAUGGUCCGCCCCUUAUAAUCAAUCCCUUGAGAGUUG
Non-coding RNA from Paramuricea clavata, 264 nucleotides. The record is from the annotation of a GenBank genome assembly. Lineage: Eukaryota; Metazoa; Cnidaria; Anthozoa; Malacalcyonacea; Plexauridae.